Molecule: ribosomal RNA, 301 nt
Filed under: uncultured Thermus sp.
Lineage: Bacteria; Thermotogati; Deinococcota; Deinococci; Thermales; Thermaceae
Description: bacterial SSU rRNA
Rfam family: Bacterial small subunit ribosomal RNA
Source: RNAcentral
UUAAGUCCCGCAACGAGCGCAACCCCCGCCGUUAGUUGCCAGCGGUUCGGCCGGGCACUCUAACGGGACUGCCCGCGAAAGCGGGAGGAAGAGGGGACGACGUCUGGUCAGCAUGGCCCUUACGGCCUGGGCGACACACGUGCUACAAUGCCCACUACAAAGCGAGGCCACCCGGCAACGGGGAGCUAAUCGCAAAAAGGUGGGCCCAGUUCGGAUUGGGGUCUGCAACCCGACCCCAUGAAGCCGGAAUCGCUAGUAAUCGCGGAUCAGCCAUGCCGCGGUGAAUACGUUCCCGGGCCUU